RNAcentral lists this ribosomal RNA (375 nucleotides) under uncultured bacterium. RNAcentral's name for it is "bacterial SSU rRNA". It matches the Rfam family "Bacterial small subunit ribosomal RNA", at positions 524 to 898 of the family's 1533-position model. The record is from RNAcentral.
UACAGAGAGUGCAAACGUUGUUCGGAAUUACUGGGCUUAAAGAGCACGUAGGCUGCAUCGUAAGUGUCUGGUGAAAUCCCACGGCUUACCCGUGGAACUGCCGGGCAUACUGCGGUGCUAGAGUGUGGUAGGGGAGAGCGGAACUCCAGGUGGAGCGGUGAAAUGCGUAGAUAUCUGGAGGAACACCGGUGGCGAAGGCGGCUCUCUGGUCCACAACUGACGCUGAGGUGCGAAAGCUAGGGGAGCAAACGGGAUUAGAUACCCCGGUAGUCCUAGCCGUAAACGAUGGGCACUAGCUUGGGGUCUCCCUGUGUGAUCCCAGGUGUAGCAAAAGUGAUAAGUGCCCCGCCUGGGGAGUAUGGUCGCAAGGCUGAA